GACGAACGCUGGCGGCGUGCCUAACACAUGCAAGUCGAGCGAAUGAAGUUCCUUCGGGAAUGGAUUUAGCGGCGGACGGGUGAGUAACACGUGGGCAACCUGCCUCAUAGAGGGGAAUAGCCUCCCGAAAGGGAGAUUAAUACCGCAUAAGAUUGUAGUACCGCAUGAUACAGCAAUUAAAGUAGCAAUCCGCUAUGAGAUGGGCCCGCGGCGCAUUAGCUAGUUGGUGAGGUAAUGGCUCACCAAGGCGACGAUGCGUAGCCGACCUGAGAGGGUGAUCGGCCACAUUGGGACUGAGACACGGCCCAGACUCCUACGGGAGGCAGCAGUGGGGAAUAUUGCACAAUGGGGGAAACCCUGAUGCAGCAACGCCGCGUGAGUGAUGACGGCCUUCGGGUUGUAAAGCUCUGUCUUCAGGGACGAUAAUGACGGUACCUGAGGAGGAAGCCACGGCUAACUACGUG
RNAcentral lists this ribosomal RNA (464 nucleotides) under uncultured bacterium. RNAcentral describes it as "partial 16S ribosomal RNA". It matches the Rfam family "Bacterial small subunit ribosomal RNA", at positions 28 to 507 of the family's 1533-position model. The record is from RNAcentral.